UUUAAUAUGGCAGAUAUAAGUGCAAUGGAUUUAAACUCCAUUUAUAAAGUUAGACAUCUUUUAUUAAAA
Molecule: transfer RNA, 69 nt
Filed under: Lepisiota xichangensis
Lineage: Eukaryota; Metazoa; Arthropoda; Insecta; Hymenoptera; Formicidae
Description: tRNA-Leu
Rfam family: tRNA
About the family: Transfer RNA (tRNA) molecules are approximately 80 nucleotides in length. Their secondary structure includes four short double-helical elements and three loops (D, anti-codon, and T loops).
Source: RNAcentral